RNAcentral lists this ribosomal RNA (253 nucleotides) under uncultured bacterium. RNAcentral describes it as "partial 16S ribosomal RNA". It matches the Rfam family "Bacterial small subunit ribosomal RNA", at positions 524 to 776 of the family's 1533-position model. The record is from RNAcentral.
UACGUAGGGGGCAAGCGUUAUCCGGAUUUACUGGGUGUAAAGGGAGCGCAGACGGCAGUGCAAGUCUGGAGUGAAAGCCCGGGGCCCAACCCCGGAACUGCUCUGGAAACUGUGCGGCUAGAGUACCGGAGGGGCAGGCGGAAUUCCUGGUGUAGCGGUGAAAUGCGUAGAUAUCAGGAGGAACACCGGUGGCGAAGGCGGCCUGCUGGACUGCGACUGACGUUGAGGCCCGAAAGCGUGGGGAGCAAACAGG